This 500-nucleotide ribosomal RNA is filed under the name uncultured bacterium. RNAcentral's name for it is "partial 16S ribosomal RNA". It matches the Rfam family "Bacterial small subunit ribosomal RNA", at positions 28 to 507 of the family's 1533-position model. The record is from RNAcentral.
GACGAACGCUGGCGGCGUGCUUAACACAUGCAAGUCGAACGGGUCUGCCCUGUUUUUUGCGGGGUGGGUCAGUGGCGAACGGGUGAGUAACACGUGAGUAACCUGCCCCUCACUUCUGGAUAACCGCUUGAAAGGGUGGCUAAUACGGGGUGUUCUGGCUGUGCCGCAUGGUGUGGCUGGGAAAGAUUCACUUUUGUGGUGUUUUGGUGGGGGAUGGGCUCGCGGCCUAUCAGCUUGUUGGUGGGGUGAUGGCCUGCCAAGGCUUUGACGGGUAGCCGGCCUGAGAGGGUGGGCGGUCACACUGGGGCUGAGAUACGGACCAGACUCCUGCGGGAGGCAGCAGGGGGGGGUAUUGCACAAUGGGCGGAAGCCUGAUGCAGCGACGUCGCGGGAGGGAUGGAGGCCUGCAGGUUGUGAACCUCUUUCGCCGGUGAAGAAGGUCCUGCUCUUUGUGGUGGGGUUGACGGUAGCCGGGUUAUGAAGCGCCGGCUAACUACGUG